GCAAUGGGUUCGUGUUCACAGGAAUUCUGCUCUUCCUUUGCCUCCAGAGAAGCCUGAAAGGAGCCUCUGCCCUCACAGCGCCUCCGGAGCAGCAGCUGGAUGAGGAGGGCUGGGCAGAGAUCAGGAGGAAGCUCCGGGAAUUCACACUCAACACCCAGGAGGAGCUGGAGCAGCAGAGGAGCCAGCUGCUGACCCGGGCUGUGGUGGCAGAGGAGCAGGUGCUGGAGCUGCAGGGCUACAUCGACCAGCACCUUGCCAGGUGACAGGGGGGGACAGCCCCCUCCAGGCUUGUGCCAGUGCUGGCCCGUGCCCACUGCUGGCCCUGCCACAGCACUGCCCAUGUCCCACUGCUCCUGCAGCUGUGCAGGCAGCUGCCACCCUCUCUUGUGCCACAGGGCAGCAGGACAGACGCUCCCCACACACCACAGGUGUCCAUCCUGUGAGCUCGCCCAUCCUUGGGAGGAAUCACAGUCAUGGAAAGGGUUGGAAGUGACACAAAUGUUCAUCCAGUGCCACCCCUGCCAUGGCAGGGACACC
Zonotrichia albicollis (white-throated sparrow) is the source of this 537-nucleotide non-coding RNA. The record is from RefSeq and is a predicted model, not a curated record. Lineage: Eukaryota; Metazoa; Chordata; Aves; Passeriformes; Passerellidae.